CUACCAGGCUUGGCCAUUGAACCCUGUGCCCAUGUCACCCUUGGAAGUCUCAAGGUGAAGACACCAGAGCCUCUGUCAGCUGAAGAAGAACACUCGUGGCUGUGGCUGUGAUGUGGUCCUUUGUUCCAGGAGUUCAUCCCUGGAUGGUGAUGUGGAGAGGCAAUGAGAUCAUUAAGAGACAGAGCCUUGUGGCAAGUAAGUGGGUCACUGAUGGCCCUGUCUUCAGAAAAGAUUAGUACUCAUCUCAAGGAAUGCAUCCGUUCUUCCAUGAAUGAGUUGCUAUAAAAGGACCCUACCUGCUCCUGCAUCCACUGGCGUCCUACUUUGCGCUGCAUGUGGGUGUCAUUGUGACGCCACUCACCAUGAGGUCAUCACUGGAGACUCAAUUAAUAGGCCGUUCAGUCUUGGCCUCUUAGACUUAAAGACUGAGUUAAUAAACACCCUCCUUUA
RNAcentral lists this long non-coding RNA (450 nucleotides) under Mus caroli (Ryukyu mouse). Its description in RNAcentral is "lncRNA (MGP_CAROLIEiJ_G0004570.1)". Lineage: Eukaryota; Metazoa; Chordata; Mammalia; Rodentia; Muridae. The record is from RNAcentral.